RNAcentral lists this ribosomal RNA (306 nucleotides) under Triticum aestivum (bread wheat). RNAcentral describes it as "partial small subunit ribosomal RNA". Lineage: Eukaryota; Viridiplantae; Streptophyta; Magnoliopsida; Poales; Poaceae. The record is from RNAcentral.
AUGAGUGGAGUAGUAUUCAAAAUUGACUUUGAAAAAGCAUAUGACAAGGUCAAAUGGUCUUUCCUCCAACAAGCCCUAAGGAUGAAAGGUUUCUCCGAUAAAUGGCGCCAGUGGAUCCAAAACUUUGUAACUGGAGGUAGUGUGGCCAUCAAAGUCAAUGAUGAUGUAGGCCAUUACUUUCAGACAAAAAAAGGACUGCGACGGGGUGACUCCAUGUCCCCAAUGUUAUUUAAUAUUGUUGCUGACAUGUUAGCUAUUCUGACUGAGCGUGCUAAGCAGGAUGGCCAGAUUGCAGGAGUAGUGCCA